CAACUGUCAAUAAUAACCUAAUAAGUUCUCAGUGAUUACUUUUCUAACAACCUAUUUCCUUACCCCUACUUAUACCCUUUGUGUGACUAUACCCCACAACCUCUAGCAUGUAAGCUCAUUGGAGCAGGGCCCCCAACCCCUCUUUUUCUGUACGUUCAGUUGUCUGGUUACAAUUACAUGUCUGUUAGACCACCGAUUGUACAGCGCUACAGAAUUUGCUG
Non-coding RNA from Pelobates cultripes (western spadefoot toad), 221 nucleotides. NCBI's taxonomy places the organism in Eukaryota, Metazoa, Chordata, Amphibia, Anura, Pelobatidae. The record is from the annotation of a GenBank genome assembly.